AUACUUACCUGGCAGGGGAGAUACCAUGAUCGGGCAGGUGGUUUUCCCAGGGUGAGGUUCAUCCAUUGCACUUGGGCUGUGCUGACCCAGGCGAUUUUCCCAAAUGUGGGAAACUCGGCUGCAUAAUUUGUGGUAGUGGGGGACUGUGUGCAUGCUCUCCCCUU
RNAcentral lists this small nuclear RNA (164 nucleotides) under Ochotona princeps (American pika). RNAcentral's name for it is "U1 spliceosomal RNA (ENSOPRG00000018105.1)". It matches the Rfam family "U1 spliceosomal RNA". From Rfam's summary of the family: U1 is a small nuclear RNA (snRNA) component of the spliceosome (involved in pre-mRNA splicing). Its 5' end forms complementary base pairs with the 5' splice junction, thus defining the 5' donor site of an intron. There are significant differences in sequence and secondary structure between metazoan and yeast U1 snRNAs, the latter being much longer (568 nucleotides as compared to 164 nucleotides in human). Lineage: Eukaryota; Metazoa; Chordata; Mammalia; Lagomorpha; Ochotonidae. The record is from RNAcentral.